RNAcentral lists this long non-coding RNA (629 nucleotides) under Drosophila guanche. Lineage: Eukaryota; Metazoa; Arthropoda; Insecta; Diptera; Drosophilidae. The record is from RNAcentral.
UAUGUACAUAUGCAGCAGAGAGACAGCAGGCAGAGGGACAGGCAGAGAGAGGGGCAAAGAGACUCACAGACAUAAAGAAACUAUAUAAGGAUGCCUCGUCGGCCCCAAUUCUCAGUGCACGUUUGCUUGUCGACGCGGAAGGUUGGUUGCGGACAACAUUUUUUUCAAUUUUUUUUUAAAUGUUUAUUUUUUCAGAACACAGACUACUAUUAUGUGGUACAAGAGACUCACAGAGAUACAAGUACAGAGACAGCAGGCAGAGAGACACAGGAAGAGAGACAGGUAGAGAGACAGGAAGAGAGACGAAGGCAGAGAGACACAGGAAGAGAGACAGCAAGCAGAGGGACAGGCAGAGAUGGAGGCAAAGAGACAGACAGAGGCACAGGAAGAGAGACAGGCAAAGAGAAAGGCAGAGGCACAGGAAGAGAGACAGCCGGCAGAGAGACAGGUAGAGAGACGGGUAGAGAGACAGGAAGAGAGACGAAGGUAGAGAGACAGGAAGAUAGGCAGAAGGCAGAGAGACACAGGAAUAGAGACAGCAAGCAGAGGGACAGGCAGAGAGACAGGCAAAGAGACAGACAGAGACACAGGAAGAGAGACAGCAAGCAGAGGGACAGGCAGAAAGGGAG